Molecule: ribosomal RNA, 2561 nt
Filed under: Escherichia coli
Lineage: Bacteria; Pseudomonadati; Pseudomonadota; Gammaproteobacteria; Enterobacterales; Enterobacteriaceae
Description: partial 23S ribosomal RNA
Rfam family: Bacterial large subunit ribosomal RNA
Source: RNAcentral
UGUGAGCUCGAUGAGUAGGGCGGGACACGUGGUAUCCUGUCUGAAUAUGGGGGGACCAUCCUCCAAGGCUAAAUACUCCUGACUGACCGAUAGUGAACCAGUACCGUGAGGGAAAGGCGAAAAGAACCCCGGCGAGGGGAGUGAAAAAGAACCUGAAACCGUGUACGUACAAGCAGUGGGAGCAUGCUUAGGCGUGUGACUGCGUACCUUUUGUAUAAUGGGUCAGCGACUUAUAUUCUGUAGCAAGGUUAACCGAAUAGGGGAGCCGAAGGGAAACCGAGUCUUAACUGGGCGUUAAGUUGCAGGGUAUAGACCCGAAACCCGGUGAUCUAGCCAUGGGCAGGUUGAAGGUUGGGUAACACUAACUGGAGGACCGAACCGACUAAUGUUGAAAAAUUAGCGGAUGACUUGUGGCUGGGGGUGAAAGGCCAAUCAAACCGGGAGAUAGCUGGUUCUCCCCGAAAGCUAUUUAGGUAGCGCCUCGUGAACUCAUCUCCGGGGGUAGAGCACUGUUUCGGCAAGGGGGUCAUCCCGACUUACCAACCCGAUGCAAACUGCGAAUACCGGAGAAUGUUAUCACGGGAGACACACGGCGGGUGCUAACGUCCGUCGUGAAGAGGGAAACAACCCAGACCGCCAGCUAAGGUCCCAAAGUCAUGGUUAAGUGGGAAACGAUGUGGGAAGGCCCAGACAGCCAGGAUGUUGGCUUAGAAGCAGCCAUCAUUUAAAGAAAGCGUAAUAGCUCACUGGUCGAGUCGGCCUGCGCGGAAGAUGUAACGGGGCUAAACCAUGCACCGAAGCUGCGGCAGCGACGCUUAUGCGUUGUUGGGUAGGGGAGCGUUCUGUAAGCCUGUGAAGGUGUACUGUGAGGUAUGCUGGAGGUAUCAGAAGUGCGAAUGCUGACAUAAGUAACGAUAAAGCGGGUGAAAAGCCCGCUCGCCGGAAGACCAAGGGUUCCUGUCCAACGUUAAUCGGGGCAGGGUGAGUCGACCCCUAAGGCGAGGCCGAAAGGCGUAGUCGAUGGGAAACAGGUUAAUAUUCCUGUACUUGGUGUUACUGCGAAGGGGGGACGGAGAAGGCUAUGUUGGCCGGGCGACGGUUGUCCCGGUUUAAGCGUGUAGGCUGGUUUUCCAGGCAAAUCCGGAAAAUCAAGGCUGAGGCGUGAUGACGAGGCACUACGGUGCUGAAGCAACAAAUGCCCUGCUUCCAGGAAAAGCCUCUAAGCAUCAGGUAACAUCAAAUCGUACCCCAAACCGACACAGGUGGUCAGGUAGAGAAUACCAAGGCGCUUGAGAGAACUCGGGUGAAGGAACUAGGCAAAAUGGUGCCGUAACUUCGGGAGAAGGCACGCUGAUAUGUAGGUGAAGCGACUUGCUCGUGGAGCUGAAAUCAGUCGAAGAUACCAGCUGGCUGCAACUGUUUAUUAAAAACACAGCACUGUGCAAACACGAAAGUGGACGUAUACGGUGUGACGCCUGCCCGGUGCCGGAAGGUUAAUUGAUGGGGUUAGCGGUAACGCGAAGCUCUUGAUCGAAGCCCCGGUAAACGGCGGCCGUAACUAUAACGGUCCUAAGGUAGCGAAAUUCCUUGUCGGGUAAGUUCCGACCUGCACGAAUGGCGUAAUGAUGGCCAGGCUGUCUCCACCCGAGACUCAGUGAAAUUGAACUCGCUGUGAAGAUGCAGUGUACCCGCGGCAAGACGGAAAGACCCCGUGAACCUUUACUAUAGCUUGACACUGAACAUUGAGCCUUGAUGUGUAGGAUAGGUGGGAGGCUUUGAAGUGUGGACGCCAGUCUGCAUGGAGCCGACCUUGAAAUACCACCCUUUAAUGUUUGAUGUUCUAACGUUGACCCGUAAUCCGGGUUGCGGACAGUGUCUGGUGGGUAGUUUGACUGGGGCGGUCUCCUCCUAAAGAGUAACGGAGGAGCACGAAGGUUGGCUAAUCCUGGUCGGACAUCAGGAGGUUAGUGCAAUGGCAUAAGCCAGCUUGACUGCGAGCGUGACGGCGCGAGCAGGUGCGAAAGCAGGUCAUAGUGAUCCGGUGGUUCUGAAUGGAAGGGCCAUCGCUCAACGGAUAAAAGGUACUCCGGGGAUAACAGGCUGAUACCGCCCAAGAGUUCAUAUCGACGGCGGUGUUUGGCACCUCGAUGUCGGCUCAUCACAUCCUGGGGCUGAAGUAGGUCCCAAGGGUAUGGCUGUUCGCCAUUUAAAGUGGUACGCGAGCUGGGUUUAGAACGUCGUGAGACAGUUCGGUCCCUAUCUGCCGUGGGCGCUGGAGAACUGAGGGGGGCUGCUCCUAGUACGAGAGGACCGGAGUGGACGCAUCACUGGUGUUCGGGUUGUCAUGCCAAUGGCACUGCCCGGUAGCUAAAUGCGGAAGAGAUAAGUGCUGAAAGCAUCUAAGCACGAAACUUGCCCCGAGAUGAGUUCUCCCUGACUCCUUGAGAGUCCUGAAGGAACGUUGAAGACGACGACGUUGAUAGGCCGGGUGUGUAAGCGCAGCGAUGCGUUGAGCUAACCGGUACUAAUGAACCGUGAGGCUUAACCUUACAACGCCGAAG